GACGAACGCUGGCGGCGUGCUUAACACAUGCAAGUCGAACGGAAAGGCCCUGCUUUUGUGGGGUGCUCGAGUGGCGAACGGGUGAGUAACACGUGAGUAACCUGCCCUUGACUUUGGGAUAACUUCAGGAAACUGGGGCUAAUAUCGGAUAGGAGCUCCUGCUGCAUGGUGGGGGUUGGAAAGUUUCGGCGGUUGGGGAUGGACUCGCGGCUUAUCAGCUUGUUGGUGGGGUAGUGGCUUACCAAGGCUUUGACGGGUAGCCGGCCUGAGAGGGGAGCCGGCCACAUUGGGACUGAGAGACGGCCCAGACGCGUACGGGGGGCAGCGGUGGGGAAUAUGGCACAAUGGGCGGAAGCGUGAUGCAGCAACGCCGCGUGCGGGAUGACGGCCUUCGGGGUGUAAACCGCUUUCGCCUGUGACGAAGCGUGAGUGACGGUAAUGGGUAAAGAAGCACCGGCUAACUACGUG
Molecule: ribosomal RNA, 468 nt
Filed under: uncultured bacterium
Lineage: Bacteria
Description: partial 16S ribosomal RNA
Rfam family: Bacterial small subunit ribosomal RNA
Source: RNAcentral